AAUCAACGCUGGCGGCGUGCCUCAGACAUGCAAGUCGAACGCGAAAGUCCCCUUCGGGGGACAAGUAGAGUGGCGCACGGGUGAGUAACACGUAGGUAAUCUACCUUUGGAUGGGGAAUAACAACCGGAAACGGUUGCUAAUACCGCAUAAUGCAGCGGCACCUAAUGGUGACAGUUGUUAAAGCGGGGGAUUGAAAGACCUCGCGUCUGAAGAGGAGCCUGCGGCGGAUUAGCUGUUGGUAAGGUAACGGCUUACCAAGGCGACGAUCCGUAGCCGGCCUGAGAGGGCGGUCGGCCACACUGACACUGACAUACGGGUCAGACUCCUACGGGAGGCAGCAGUCGGGAAUUUGGGCAAUGGGCGAAAGCCUGACCCAGCAACGCCGCGUGAAGGAUGAAAU
RNAcentral lists this ribosomal RNA (401 nucleotides) under uncultured bacterium. Its description in RNAcentral is "bacterial SSU rRNA". It matches the Rfam family "Bacterial small subunit ribosomal RNA", at positions 32 to 414 of the family's 1533-position model. The record is from RNAcentral.